This is a long non-coding RNA of Salvia splendens (bonfire salvia), 1282 nucleotides long. RefSeq lists it as uncharacterized. The record is from RefSeq and is a predicted model, not a curated record. NCBI's taxonomy places the organism in Eukaryota, Viridiplantae, Streptophyta, Magnoliopsida, Lamiales, Lamiaceae. The transcript has 2 exons.
UAUCCUUCUUCCACUCCUCCUCCUCCUACUUCUACAAAACUCUUUACUUUCCAUCUCAGCAAAUACCAAUAUCAACACAGAUCUUUCUUCUCUUCUUACCUUGAAAUCCCACAUAACUCCACACCCUCAUAACAUACUCAUAAAAAAUUGGACCUCUGAAGCCGGUGUAUGUAGUUGGAUUGGAGUUACAUGUGAUUCUCGCUAUCACAGGUGACUCAGUUGAAUAUAUCUUCCAUGGGUCUCGUAGGAACCAUCUCACCUGAAAUCGGGAAUCUUUCUUUUCUCGUUUCUUUAGAUAUGAGCGAGAAUUCGUUUCAUGGUCCAAUCCCUCCAUCUAUUUUCAACAUGUCAACUUUGGAAGUUUUGAAUUUGAGGAAUAAUAGUUUGUCUAGUAGUCUACCUCUUGAUAUGUGCUAACACAAUUUGCAUAGACUGAAGAGACUUCGUAUUUCUUACAACGAGUUGUAGGGGGAAAUACCAUCGAGUUUGGAGCAGUGUUCGCAGCAUGAGCAUCUUUCUCUGCAGAGCAACAAAUUCAGUGGACAUGUACAAAUUGGAAACUUGACCUUUCUUCGAAUAUUAUACUUGGGUGCCAACAACUUACGUGGUCCAAUUGUCCACCUUAGUGAAUCAAUCAAGACUAGUUUAUUUAGGGCUUGGUCUCAACAGCUUUAGUGGAGAGAUUCAACCAUCCAUUUGCAACAUGAGAUCCCUCCAAACCCUCUAUUUAUCAUACAAUUAUUUUGAAGGGCCGAUUCCAAAAUGUAUGGUGAACUUUAGCACAUCUCUUUCAAUCCUCCAUUUGAAUGCAAAUAAACUUAAUGACCUCAUCCCGUCAACAUUUCCAAAGGGUUGCAGUCUUCAGUCAAUCAAUAUGAAUGACAACAAAUUGGAAGGAACACUACCCCGAACCCUACUCAACUGCCAGGGUUUGUUGGGCAUCGACAUUGGCAUUCAUUUCCCUUUUGGAUGGAAACACUCCCUCAACUUCGCAUCCUCGUCUUGAGGUCAAAUAAAUUUAAUGGUACGAUGUUGGUGGAUUCAAACUCAAACACAGAGCUACCAUUUCCAAAGUUGCAAGUCUUGGAUUUAUCACAGAAUGAAUUUGUUGGCCCUCUCCCUGUUAGAUAUAUCAACAACUUUCGAGGUAUGAUCGAUUGAUAGGAUAAACCUCCUAUCGGGCUGAUCGGCGUCCGUAGAUCGGCGAUCGAUAAAUGUUUGUCGCGGGCAAGUGCCCGUCGAGCACGAUGGUCGAUAAUAUUGAUAUUCUUGAUUGAUUUCU